RNAcentral lists this ribosomal RNA (251 nucleotides) under uncultured bacterium. Its description in RNAcentral is "partial 16S ribosomal RNA". It matches the Rfam family "Bacterial small subunit ribosomal RNA", at positions 524 to 773 of the family's 1533-position model. The record is from RNAcentral.
UACAGAGGGUGCGAGCGUUGUCCGGAAUCACUGGGCGUAAAGGGCGCGUAGGCGGUUCCCUAAGUGUGUGGUGAAAGCUCGGGGCUCAACCCCGAGUCGGCCGUGCAAACUGGGGGACUCGAGCAUGUCAGAGGCAGGCGGAAUUCCGGGUGUAGCGGUGGAAUGCGUAGAGAUCCGGAAGAACACCAGUGGCGAAGGCGGCCCGCUGGGCAGUGGCUGACGCUGAGGCGGCGACAGCGUGGGGAGCAAAC